AGCAAAUUCACCGGGGAUGAACAACUUUUGUCACGUGACCGCAAAAGUCAACGCCGGUUGCAGAAACAGAUUGUAAUCUUGUACAUUAAGAAACAUGACGCUCGUGUGUGAAAUCUGUGGAAAGACAUUUAAAUCGAAGUGGGGGUUAAAGCUUCAUGAUAAGCGCCACAGAGGGACUGGACGAUUCGCCUGUUGUGGAAAAACAUUUUACACAAAACAGGCGUUCAACAGACACAGAUGCAGCAUUCAUGGUGUUGAAAAGCCGUUCCCCUGUGAACAAUGCGGCAAAAAGUUUUCAACCAAAGAUGACCUGAAUCGUCACGUCCGGAGGGAGGUUGCUGCAAAGCAAUUUACCUGCUCAAUUUGCAAUGCAACGCUCCGGGAGAAAAUUGACCUUCAGGCCCACCUUGCCACCCACAAUGGAGAGAAAAACUUUGCUUGUGAUAUGUGUGAAAAGAGGUACAGGCACCGCAGUAGUCUAUCAAAGCACAGAUCUGCAAAGCACCGGGCCUAGUCAUCUGUUGCAUGACGAUGAUAAGACCAAGAAUUAUUUUUAAUUCUUACCAAUGUGCCGUGGUUAUUUUCUUAAUUAUUGAAAAUACAGACUGUCAUACAAUAAUAUAUAGUAUUACGCGUGUUUUUGCGUCUUAAACAUUGUGUUACAUAUCGUUUAUCUUGUGUUGUUUUGUUUGAUAUUCCUGUUUUUAAUAAGAUUAUUGUUGUAAUAUUUAUCAUUCUAAUUUAAAAUGAUUAUGAUAAUGGUUGAUCUCAUACAAAUUAUUGUGUUCAUUAUUGCUCAUCUGUGAUUACUGUUGAUCUCAGCCCAUGAAUUGUGAUUUAUAUUGAUUAUCUGUGAUUAUUGUUGAUCUUAUCAAAAUAAUUGUAAUUUAUGUUGAUUAUCUGUGAAUUUUUUAUCUUAACCUAUUAAUAGUGAUUUAUAUUAUCUGUGAUUAUUGUUGAUCUUAUCAAAAUCAUUGUGAUUUAUGUUGAUUAUCUGUGAUUAUUGUUGAUCUCAACCGAUUAAUUGUGAUUUAUAUAACCAGUGAUUAUUGUUGAUCUUUUCAAAAUCAUUGUAAUUUAUGUUGAUUAUCUGUGAUUAUUGUUGAUCUUUUCGAAAUCAUUGUAAUUUAUGUUGAUUAUCUGUGAUUAUUGUUGAUCUUUUCAAAAUCAUUGUAAUCUAUGUUGAUUAUCUGUGAUUAUUGUUGAUCUUUUCAAAAUCAUUGUAAUUAAUGUUGAUUAUCUGUGAUUAUUGUUGAUCUUUUCAAAAUCAUUGUAAUUUAUGUUGAUUAUCUGUGAUUAUUGUUGAUCUCACCAUAUCCGCUGGAAUAUACAUUUGAGCCGCGCUCUGUGAAAAGGGGGUUUAAUGCAUGUGCGUAAAGUGCAGUCCACAUAGGCUAAUCAGGGACGGCACUUUCCGCUUUUAUGAUAUGUUUUGUUAAAAGAAAGUCUCUUCUGAGCAAAAAUCGAGUUUAUCGGAAAGGUUUGUCCCUAAUUAGCCUGUACGGAAUGCACAGGCUAAUAUGUGACGACACCUUACGCACAUGCAUUAAACCCCCUUUUCACAGAGCGAGACUCAUUUGUAAUCUGCGAUUUUUGUUUAUCUAUUUCGAAUCAAUAUGAUUAAAAUAUAUUUUUGGUGAGUUAGCUUUUUGUCUCAUUGGAAUCAUUGUGCGAAUUGUCAACAAUUACAUGUAAAUCUGUAAUUCCUUCUCAAGUUGCACAUAGGCCAGUUUAAUGUUUUGCGUAUAAGCUAUUAUUGCGAUACGGGAUAUUCUUUGCAGCAAUAAAACAAUUAAUCUGCA
This is a long non-coding RNA of Dreissena polymorpha, 1802 nucleotides long. RefSeq lists it as uncharacterized. Lineage: Eukaryota; Metazoa; Mollusca; Bivalvia; Myida; Dreissenidae. The record is from RefSeq and is a predicted model, not a curated record. The transcript has 3 exons.